CCUACGGGAGGCAGCAGUGGGGAAUAUUGGGCAAUGGACGAAAGUCUGACCCAGCGACGCCGCGUGAGGGAUGAAGGCCUUCGGGUUGUAAACCUCUUUCAGUAGGGAAGAAGCGAAAGUGACGGUACCUAAAGAAGAAGCACCGGCUAACUAUGUGCCAGCAGCCGCGGUAAUACAUAGGGUGCAAGCGUUGUCCGGAAUUAUUGGGCGUAAAGAGCUCGUAGGUGGUUUGUUGCGUCGGGUGUGAAAUUCAGGGGCUCAACCCCUGACCUGCACUCGAUACGGGCAAGCUAGAGUUUGGUAGGGGAGACUGGAAUUCCUGGUGUAGCGGUGGAAUGCGCAGAUAUCAGGAGGAACACCAAUGGCGAAGGCAGGUCUCUGGGCCAAUACUGACACUGAGGAGCGAAAGCGCGGGGAGCGAACAGGAUUAGAUACCCUGGUAGUCCGCGCCGUAAACGAUGGGCGCUAGUUGUGGGGACCUUCCACGGUUUCUGCGACGCAGCUACGCAUAGUACGCCCGCCGUCGGGUAGGUACGAGUCGCGAAGAAGUUAAACGUUAACGAAACGGAAAGUUAAGUACGGCGUUGAGACGUUGCCGAACGGACGACGACGAGGGAGGAGG
RNAcentral lists this ribosomal RNA (622 nucleotides) under uncultured bacterium. RNAcentral describes it as "bacterial SSU rRNA". The stretch from base 1 to 522 matches the Rfam family "Bacterial small subunit ribosomal RNA", at positions 338 to 873 of the family's 1533-position model. The record is from RNAcentral.